RNAcentral lists this ribosomal RNA (505 nucleotides) under uncultured bacterium. Its description in RNAcentral is "partial 16S ribosomal RNA". It matches the Rfam family "Bacterial small subunit ribosomal RNA", at positions 28 to 507 of the family's 1533-position model. The record is from RNAcentral.
GACGAACGCUGGCGGCGUGCCUAAUACAUGCAAGUAGAACGCACAGUUUAUACCGUAGCUUGCUACACCAUAGACUGUGAGUUGCGAACGGGUGAGUAACGCGUAGGUAACCUGCCUGGUAGCGGGGGAUAACUAUUGGAAACGAUAGCUAAUACCGCAUAAUAUUGAUUAUUGCAUGAUAAUUGAUUGAAAGAUGCUAUUGCAUCACUACCAGAUGGACCUGCGUUGUAUUAGCUAGUAGGUGAGGUAACGGCUCACCUAGGCGACGAUACAUAGCCGACCUGGGAGGGUGGUCGGCCAACCUGGGACUGGGACACGGCCCAGACUCCUACGGGAGGCAGCAGUAGGGAAUCUUCGGCAAUGGACGAAAGUCUGACCGAGCAACGCCGCGUGAGUGAAGAAGGUUUUCGGAUCGUAAAGCUCUGUUGUAAGAGAAGAACGGGUGUGGGAGUGGAAAGUUCACACUGUGACGGUAUCUUACCAGAAAGGGACGGCUAACUACGUG